Molecule: ribosomal RNA, 253 nt
Filed under: uncultured bacterium
Lineage: Bacteria
Description: partial 16S ribosomal RNA
Rfam family: Bacterial small subunit ribosomal RNA
Source: RNAcentral
UACGUAGGGAGCAAGCGUUGUCCGGAAUCAUUGGGCGUAAAGCGCGCGUAGGUGGCCCUGUAAGUCCGUUGUGAAAGUCAAAGGCUCAACCUUUGAAAGCCGAUGGAUACUGCAGGGCUAGAGUACGGAAGAGGCGAGUGGAAUUCCUGGUGUAGCGGUGGAAUGCGCAGAUAUCAGGAGGAACACCAAUAGCGAAGGCAGCUCGCUGGGACGUUACUGACACUGAGGCGCGAAAGCGUGGGGAGCGAACGGG